AACCCAUGAUGAAGGCACCUUCUCAUAAUAUUCUUAAAUCUCUCCCAUGUAUCAUAUAGUGUCUCAAGCUCAAAUUGAGCAAAAGAAGAGAUGUCAUUCCUUAACUU
Non-coding RNA from Gossypium hirsutum (cotton), 107 nucleotides. Lineage: Eukaryota; Viridiplantae; Streptophyta; Magnoliopsida; Malvales; Malvaceae. The record is from Rfam.